RNAcentral lists this long non-coding RNA (650 nucleotides) under Anser cygnoides (Swan goose). Its description in RNAcentral is "lncRNA (ENSACDG00005000760.1)". The record is from RNAcentral. Lineage: Eukaryota; Metazoa; Chordata; Aves; Anseriformes; Anatidae.
AUGGGUCCUGAUAAAAAUCCUUUUGGAAAAUUCAUGGUUGCUGUUUAUGAAGUUGUUUUUAAUAAAAAUAAACGUGAAAAGGAAAAGAAGAAGAUGAAAAUACAGAACAGGAGACAAACCCAACCAUGCAAUUUUCAUUUUAACUCUCUGGGCAGUACAGUAAAAGGGCUAGCAUACACUCCCAUCAAAAGCAAUGGGAAUAACCAUAAGAGCCAUCUUUCUCAAAUCACAGAUGAAUUCAAAUGGGAAGAGGCACGCAACAACAAAAAAAAUAGUUGUUAAUGCAUAAAACUACUGUAUGUCUUCCAAUAGCUGGACUCAAGAACCCUGGUUAAAUACUGACUUUCUUUCAGAGUCAAUCAGAUAAUAAGACCCCUUUAGAAGCACAGAAUAGUUAAAUUCAUCACCAUAAUUUAAUUGUAGAAGGUUAUUAAAGAGCACUUCGACUCCCCUCCUGCUUCGGCGCUGCUUUUGUGUAUUAAACUCAGACUAAUCAAAUUGCAGAUUCCAAGAGUACUGUAUUAGUCAUCCCCAUCCCUUUUAAUUUGUUUAAUGGCCUCCUUUUUUCUCCCCCCUCUUGUGUAUGUGUUCUGACUGGCUGUGCAGCGCUUAGGCUCACGACAUGUAAAUAAAGAAUGGAUAGGGGAACA